This 506-nucleotide ribosomal RNA is filed under the name Yersinia enterocolitica. RNAcentral's name for it is "partial 23S ribosomal RNA". It matches the Rfam family "Bacterial large subunit ribosomal RNA", at positions 1241 to 1745 of the family's 2925-position model. The record is from RNAcentral. Lineage: Bacteria; Pseudomonadati; Pseudomonadota; Gammaproteobacteria; Enterobacterales; Yersiniaceae.
CUGUAAGCCGUUGAAGGUGACCUGUGAGGGUUGCUGGAGGUAUCAGAAGUGCGAAUGCUGACAUAAGUAACGAUAAUGCGGGUGAAAAACCCGCACGCCGGAAGACCAAGGGUUCCUGUCCAACGUUAAUCGGGGCAGGGUGAGUCGACCCCUAAGGCGAGGCUGAAAAGCGUAGUCGAUGGGAAACAGGUUAAUAUUCCUGUACUUGGUGUUACUGCGAAGGGGGGACGGAGAAGGCUAGGCUAGCCGGGCGACGGUUGUCCCGGUUUAAGCAUGUAGGCGGAGUGACUUGGUAAAUCCGGUUGCUUAUCAACGCUGAGGUGUGAUGACGAGCCACUACGGUGGUGAAGUAGUUGAUGCCAAGCUUCCAGGAAAAGCCUCUAAGCAUCAGGUAACAUUAAAUCGUACCCCAAACCGACACAGGUGGUCAGGUAGAGAAUACUCAGGCGCUUGAGAGAACUCGGGUGAAGGAACUAGGCAAAAUGGUGCCGUAACUUCGGGAGAAG